RNAcentral lists this long non-coding RNA (1192 nucleotides) under Monodelphis domestica (gray short-tailed opossum). Its description in RNAcentral is "lncRNA (ENSMODG00000048867.1)". The record is from RNAcentral. Lineage: Eukaryota; Metazoa; Chordata; Mammalia; Didelphimorphia; Didelphidae.
CCCCCAGGAGCUGGUUAUUUGGCCUAAUUUCCCUGGUAGGCUUGAUGAAGGGUCAGAAGGAGCAAGAGCUGACAGGGCUAGAGACAAUAUGUCUAGAAGAGGCAGCGGAACCUGGAACAGAAACAGGUGGGCUAGCAUCCGGCGAAAACCAGAAAUAGAAUCAGGAUGCAGGCAGGGUCAGAACCAAGAGACUGAGGUUAACUACUCAAAGCAAUGGAGCAAGACUUGAUGCCCAAACAUCAGUCUGCAGGUGGAAUCUGGGAGACCUGGGGUUAAUGAAGCCUGAAUCCCACACCGAAAGCCCAGGACUCUUCAAGCCAGAAAAAUUUACAACAAACAAACAAACAAAGAAACCAAAAACCCCUCGCAGGGAAGUUGUGGACAUCACCCAUGUGAGAUGUCAUAGGUAGAAUAUUGCUGAACUUAUAAAAGCUUGCAGGAUUGGACUCCUUAAAGGAGUCUUCUUAAUAUUUAGAUAGUUUGGGUGUUUACAAAGACAUUUUUCCAUAAUAAUCGUGUGAAGCAGAUUAUACAGUUUUUAUGAAUGGAGACCUCUUGCCAUUAGAAGAAUUCCAACUCUGCAGUAUUUGGAGAAAGCUGUUGCAGAAGGAGCCUGUCUUGGUACUCUGGAUACACCUGUACAACUAAGAAUUUCAAAGCCCUAGUCCCAACCCUGAUCCUUUGCUGCCCAGUGUGAGUCACCUAUCUCAUGGUCCUGAUGGCACAAGAAGUUUUCACCACCAGUCUGGACAUCUUCUACAGACCUGAGCUCUGGAGUGAGCCAGAGCCCAAUGAGGAAGUGAGAAGCUUGGAGGAGGAGAAGAAGGAGGCAGCAGUAAGGAAAGGACUGCUAAAAGUCAGUUCAGGAAGAAGCAGAAGAGGAGGAAUCCAACUUCUAAUAAGAUAUAUGGAAGACACAGAGAGAUAAAGAAGGGGAAGCUGUGAGGAACCUUUUGAAACUGGAGAACUGAACCAAGGGCAGCUGUUACCAAAAAGAAACGGUCCAGGACUCUGGAAUACAGGUUAUUUUGGCCCAUUAGCCACAAGGAGUAUAGGGAUAGAUAUGACAUGGCUGUAACUAAUACCUUCUCCCUCUUUCUUAAAUUAGUAAUUUUCCUUUUUUCCCUUUUGAUCUCUUCUCAUGGAAGCCUGAAACUCUUUCUUUUGACUAUGGGAAAAAUGUUUUUUUUUU